This 616-nucleotide ribosomal RNA is filed under the name uncultured bacterium. RNAcentral describes it as "bacterial SSU rRNA". It matches the Rfam family "Bacterial small subunit ribosomal RNA", at positions 338 to 944 of the family's 1533-position model. The record is from RNAcentral.
CCUACGGGAGGCAGCAGUGGGGAAUUUUGGACAAUGGACGAAAGUCUGAUCCAGCCAUGCCGCGUGCGGGAAGAAGGCCUUCGGGUUGUAAACCGCUUUUGUCAGGGAAGAAAUCCUUUGAGUUAAUACCUCGGGGGGAUGACGGUACCUGAAGAAUAAGCACCGGCUAACUACGUGCCAGCAGCCGCGGUAAUACGUAGGGUGCAAGCGUUAAUCGGAAUUACUGGGCGUAAAGCGUGCGCAGGCGGUUAUAUAAGACAGAGGUGAAAUCCCCGGGCUCAACCUGGGAACUGCCUUUGUGACUGUAUAGCUUGAGUGCGGCAGAGGGGGAUGGAAUUCCGCGUGUAGCAGUGAAAUGCGUAGAUAUGCGGAGGAACACCGAUGGCGAAGGCAAUCCCCUGGGCCUGCACUGACGCUCAUGCACGAAAGCGUGGGGAGCAAACAGGAUUAGAUACCCUGGUAGUCCACGCCCUAAACGAUGUCAACUGGUUGUUGGGAAGGUUCCUUCUCAGUAACGUAGCUAACGCGUGAAGUUGACCGCCUGGGGAGUACGGCCGCAAGGUUGAAACUCAAAUGAAUUGACGGCUGAAGAGCGACGAGACGACGAGAGGAGGAG